RNAcentral lists this non-coding RNA (28 nucleotides) under Homo sapiens (human). Lineage: Eukaryota; Metazoa; Chordata; Mammalia; Primates; Hominidae. The record is from RNAcentral.
UGAGGGACUGUCACUGGAUGAUGGGAGU